RNAcentral lists this ribosomal RNA (489 nucleotides) under uncultured bacterium. RNAcentral's name for it is "bacterial SSU rRNA". It matches the Rfam family "Bacterial small subunit ribosomal RNA", at positions 8 to 518 of the family's 1533-position model. The record is from RNAcentral.
AGAGUUUGAUCCUGGCUCAGAAUGAACGCUGGCGGCAUGGAUUAGGCAUGCAAGUCGAACGUACUCCCUUCGGGGAGAAAGUGGCGAAAGGGUGAGUAACACGUGAGCAACCUGCCUCCGGAUCCGGAAUAAUCCAGGGAAACUUGGUCUAAAACCGAAUGAAGACAUUGGUCCGCAUGGUCUAAUGUUAAAAUAUUUAUAGUCCGGAGAGGGGCUCGCGGCCCAUUAGCUUGUUGGCGGGGUAAUGGCCCACCAAGGCUACGACGGGUAGGUGGUCUGAGAGGAUGGUCACCCACACUGGGACUGAGACACUGCCCAGACUCCUACGGGAGGCUGCAGUCGAGAAUCUUCCGCAAUGGGCGCCAAGCCUGACGGAGCGAUGCCGCGUGAGGGAUGAAGGCCUUCGGGUUGUAAACCUCUGUCAUCCGGGACGAAAACAAUGACGGUACCGGAAAAGGAAGCCACGGCUAACCACGUGCCAGCCGCCGC